AACGAACGCUGGCGGCAGGCCUAACACAUGCAAGUCGAGCGCGCCCUUCGGGGUGACCUGCUGACGUUGGAGUAACGCGUGGGAACGGUCCCUUUUCUACGGAAUAGCCUCGGGAAACUGAGAGUAAUCCCUUAUACGCCCUUUGGGGGAAAGAUUUAUCGGAAAAGGAUCGGCCCGCGUUGGAUUAGGGAGUUGGUGUGGUAAUGGCCUACCAGUCCGAAGAUCCAUUGCGGGUUUUAGAGGAGGAUCAGCCACACUGGGACUGAGACACGGACCAGGGUCCUACGGGAGGCAGUAGAGGGGAGUCUUAGACAACGGAGGCAAGCGUGAGAUAGCCACGCCGCGUGAGUGAUGCAGGCCUUAGAGUUGUAAAGCGCUUGCAGCGGGGAAGAUAAUGACGGUACCAGAAGAAGAAGCCCCGGCUAACUCCGUG
Molecule: ribosomal RNA, 433 nt
Filed under: uncultured bacterium
Lineage: Bacteria
Description: partial 16S ribosomal RNA
Rfam family: Bacterial small subunit ribosomal RNA
Source: RNAcentral